ACGUAGGGGGCAAGCGUUAUCCGGAAUUAUUGGGCGUAAAGAGUGCGUAGGUGGUUUUUUAAGCGUGAGGUGAAAGGCAAUAGCUUAACUAUUGUAAGCCUUGCGAACUGGAAGACUUGAGUGCAGGAGAGGAAAGUGGAAUUCCUAGUGUAGCGGGGGAAUGGCUUGAAAUUAGGAGGGACACCAGUGGCGAAGGCGACUUUCUGGACUUUAACCGACACUGGGGCACGAAAACGUUGGGAGCAAACAG
Molecule: ribosomal RNA, 250 nt
Filed under: uncultured prokaryote
Description: partial 16S rRNA
Rfam family: Bacterial small subunit ribosomal RNA
Source: RNAcentral